This 253-nucleotide ribosomal RNA is filed under the name uncultured bacterium. Its description in RNAcentral is "partial 16S ribosomal RNA". It matches the Rfam family "Bacterial small subunit ribosomal RNA", at positions 524 to 776 of the family's 1533-position model. The record is from RNAcentral.
GACGAACCGAGCGAACGUUGUUCGGAAUCACUGGGCUUAAAGGGCGCGUAGGCGGGCCGCCAAGUCAGGGGUGAAAGCCUCCAGCUUAACUGGAGAAGUGCCUCUGAUACUGGCGGCCUCGAGGGAGAUAGGGGCGUGCGGAACUUCCGGUGGAGCGGUGAAAUGCGUAGAUAUCGGAAGGAACACCGGUGGCGAAAGCGGCGCGCUGGAUCUCUUCUGACGCUGAGGCGCGAAAGCCAGGGGAGCGAACGGG